AAUUAAACUAAAAAAAAAAAAAACAAAAGAAAGGAAAGAAGAAAGCGCGGGGGGAGCUAGGGCUACCGUGUCUGUACCUAACACAAUGGCGGGAAAAAACGCACCCCUCAAGAAUUGGCGGGAAAAUCUCCUUAUUAUCAUCAUUUAGCGCGCGAAGCCAGUAUCACUCUAUACAGAUCUGAAACUAAAACACAAAAUUCAGAUCAGAAAAUGGUGGGACCGAUGUACGAUUUCGUCGCAAACCCUCUCGGAGCCGUCCGAUUAACAUUUGACAAGACAAUCGGAUCCGGAUCGGACCCGUCCUCCUUCGAUGGCAAAGAUUGGGGCGCCGUCGACCUCUUCCGCCACUUCCUCUUCGACCAAGCCCGCCUUUCCCAGGUUCCAAUUCUUAAUGGCGCAACAGUAAAUUGGAUUAAACCGAACACUCUAGUUCGGUUUCGGGGAAUGAUACAAGACAUGUUGGGAAAUGAAUUAUAUGUUGGUGCUUAUAAGGAUGGUUCAGUUUGGAGGACUAACAAAUUCAUGGAUAUCUCCCAAUGCCCCGUGGAACUUAAUUCGCCUAAUAUGCGUCUCUGGGAGCGUCGUUUAUUGUACUGUGUCCCGGUUCCGGGAUUAAAUUCGUGGGCUGAAUCUACUUCUGAGGUAGCGGUAAAUAUGUGCAUGGAUUCGACUUCUGAACAAAGAGAUAAGCGUAGCAGAAUGGACAUUGAAGCUGUGGAUCACAAUGAUUUUCCUGUCUCAGGUGAUGAAUCUGAAGAUUCUCCUAGUGCGAAAAGGAUGAGAGAGGAUCCCUCAUCCUCACAGUACCUGGAUCCUAAAAAUGAAGGGCCUUGUUCAAGCCAUGUUAUUCUUCCAGACGUUGAUAGAGAUUCUCUUCCUUGUCUAGUAAAGAUAUAUGAUUCUCCAGAGUCUGAGUUGAAGCUAAAUGAUGUUUUUGAAUUUGUCGGGGUCCUCACUUUUGAUUCUGAGCUUCUAUCAGAGAAGGUUGAUCAGGAUGAGUUCUCUAAUGGUCUUUGUGAUGACGUGUCUGUCAAUUUGCCACCCAACAAGGUGCCAUGCCUCCAUUGUGUUAUUCAUAGGAAACUCACGGUCUAUGACUUUCUGCAGAACUCCCCUCCGACAGAGCCAAAACCCCAUUUAGUCAAAGAGGCAAGGGAAGCACUGUUGAGGCAUCUCACUUCUAUUCUUGGCAAUGAUGGGGUAGCAGCUCAUUUCAUGUUGUUGCAUCUUCUGUCUAGGGUACAUGCCAGAGCAGAUAAUGUUGCUGUUGGGAAGCUUUCUUUGAACCUUACUUGUAUUAGCAAAGAGAUCGCAUCUGUAUUUGGCACUAGACUAAGUAUUGUCAUCAAGAAUCUUCUUCCCUUCACAAAAUGCAUACCCCUGACUGUGGAAUAUCUCAACACGGCUUCUCUUGCUCCCAAAAAGGAUUAUCAAAUAAAUAGACUGAUACCUGGAGUUCUACAGCUAGCUGAGGGCUCACACUUAAUUUUUGAUGAGACAUGUUUGGAAACAGGAACCCUCAAUUCUGCUGGGGUUGAGAACGCAAGGUUGCUAAAAGCCCUGACAGAGUUGCAAAAGGUUGAGUACGAUUUUAAGUAUUAUAAGAUGGAGAUGAUGGCUGAUGUCCAAAUGCUAAUAUUGUCAGAGGGGAAAUCAAACAUGUUGCCAGCUGAUAUAAUUAUGCCAUUCCAGCCUUCUUCGGCAGGUUCCUCAGAUGUUGUGCCUGCAGAAGUCCUGGAAGCUUGGAGAUGGUACUUGGCUACUGUUAGAUCUAUGCCUCAUUUGAUAGAGCCAGAUAUGCAGAAGGUGGUAGAAAAUGACUUGGUUACUGCUAGGCAAGCGGAUCGAAGCUUAGGCAGCCAAGACUUCAGCAGAUGGCUGACAAUGGGCCGCCUCAUUUCUGCCAGUUUUGGCGAGACCUCACUCUCAUUGGAGCACUGGCAAAUGGUAAAGGAGCUGGAGAGGCUAAGGAUAGAUAGGCUCAAGUGAAAUAUGCCUUUCAUGCUGGUACUCAAACAUGUAAAAACUAAAGGCAUUCUAAUAGUAAAUACUUCGCCUGCUUGUGGUUGCAAAACAAUGUCGUCACAGGAUUUCACCCAAUUUUAACCUGACCCUCCUCUUGCAGAGCUUGGAUUAGCGGGCAUUUCCUUGAUUACAUAAAAGAGGAAUCCAUCAAAAUUUAUGUGAUUGAGAAGGCUCUACAUUGGGAGUACCUUGUAUUUUAUUGAAGGUGUGAUAGAGAACACUUUCACCGGGUGUGGAACUCCUCAUGCUGAGCUAUGAAAUAGAAUCUGGGUGAUGGACAUUCUAUUCGGUUGGUUUGAUGUUUGGAUUCAGGGAGUAGAACUGCUGACUAAUCUUGCCUUGUCCCAUCUCCAUUUCCAUGAGAGCAGCAGUCCUGGAAGGUCUCUGCUUAUAUGGCUCUUUCUGGCAAUUGUUGUUGGGAUAUGCUUAAGGAUUUAUCAUCAAAUGCAGUUCGUUUAAAAAUCGCCGGCAUUCACCUACUCAAUCCAAAUUCCGGUGAAGACAGGAUUGUAUGGGGCCUUCCUAAUAAUGAUUGUCUUACGACCAAGUCUGCAUAUAAUUUCUUGUUAGGUACUAACAGAUGAAGAAAGUGUACUUUGUAACCUAAUCUGGAAGUGUUAGGACCCCAAACGGAAUCGUUCAUUUUUUAAUGCAAAUGGGAGAUUAUUGACUAA
Populus nigra (black poplar) is the source of this 2699-nucleotide RNA transcript. It is a transcript of the gene named mini-chromosome maintenance complex-binding protein, with no coding region annotated. The transcript has 15 exons. Lineage: Eukaryota; Viridiplantae; Streptophyta; Magnoliopsida; Malpighiales; Salicaceae. The record is from RefSeq and is a predicted model, not a curated record.